GAUGAACGCUGGCGGCGUGCCUAAUACAUGCAAGUCGAGCGAACAGACGAGGAGCUUGCUCCUCUGACGUUAGCGGCGGACGGGUGAGUAACACGUGGAUAACCUACCUAUAAGACUGGGAUAACUUCGGGAAACCGGAGCUAAUACCGGAUAACAUGUUGAACCGCAUGGUUCAACAGUGAAAGACGGUUUUGCUGUCACUUAUAGAUGGAUCCGCGCCGCAUUGGCUAGUUGGUAAGGUAACGGCUUACCAAGGCAACGAUGCGUAGCCGACCUGAGAGGGUGAUCGGCCACACUGGAACUGAGACACGGUCCAGACUCCUACGGGAGGCAGCAGUAGGGAAUCUUCCGCAAUGGGCGAAAGCCUGACGGAGCAACGCCGCGUGAGUGAAGAAGGUCUUCGGAUCGUAAAACUCUGUUAUUAGGGAAGAACAAAUGUGUAAGUAACUAUGCACGUCUUGACGGUACCUAAUCAGAAAGCCACGGCUAACUACGUG
This 497-nucleotide ribosomal RNA is filed under the name uncultured bacterium. RNAcentral's name for it is "partial 16S ribosomal RNA". It matches the Rfam family "Bacterial small subunit ribosomal RNA", at positions 28 to 507 of the family's 1533-position model. The record is from RNAcentral.